Molecule: non-coding RNA, 366 nt
Organism: Chelonoidis abingdonii (Abingdon island giant tortoise)
Lineage: Eukaryota; Metazoa; Chordata; Testudines; Testudinidae
Source: the annotation of a RefSeq genome assembly
AUGCUCCUCCGGCUGCAUGUUGCUCUUAUGGUAGCACUUCUCCAAGGGGCCCAUUCGCAGGUUCAGCUGGUGGAAUCUGGAGGAGAGGGGAAAAUGGCAGGAGAUUCUAUCAAGAUCUCGUGUAAGGCCUCCGGGUUCACCUUUGGUGACUACUGGAUGCACUGGUACCGGCAGGCUCCCGGGAAAGGACCCGAGUGGGUGUCCGGCAUUAGCUAUUGGGCCGGAACCGACAAGAGAUACGCUGAGUCUGUGAAAGGGCGAUUCACCAUCUCCAGAGACAACCCCAACAACCUGCUGUAUCUGCAAAUGACCGGCCUGAGACCCGAGGACUCGGCGGUGUAUUACUGUCAGAGAGACACACAGUGA